RNAcentral lists this ribosomal RNA (544 nucleotides) under Trigonopterus agilis. RNAcentral's name for it is "partial large subunit ribosomal RNA". It matches the Rfam family "Bacterial large subunit ribosomal RNA", at positions 1816 to 2635 of the family's 2925-position model. Lineage: Eukaryota; Metazoa; Arthropoda; Insecta; Coleoptera; Curculionidae. The record is from RNAcentral.
GGCUUAUUGAAAAUAAUUUUAAGUUUGGCCUGCCCAAUGAAAAAUUUAAUGGCUGCAGUAUAUUAACUGUACAAAGGUAGCAUAAUCAUUUGUUUUUUAAUUGAAAGCUUGAAUGAAAGGUUGGAUGAAAAAAUUUCUGUCUCUAUAAAAAUUAAUUAGAAUUUUAUUUUUAAGUGAAAAAGCUUAAAUAUGAAUGGAAGACGAGAAGACCCUAUAGAGUUUGAUAUUUAGCUGAAUAAUUUGUUAAAGGAAAAUAAUUUUUUUAUUUAGUUAAUUAUUUUGUUGGGGUGAUGAAAAAAUUUAAUAAACUUUUUUUAAUUUUAUAUCAUUAAUUUAUGAGUAAAAGAUCCUUAUUUAAGAUUACAAAAAAAAAUUACCUUAGGGAUAACAGCGUAAUUUUUUCUAGAGUUCUUAUCGAAGAAAAAGAUUGCGACCUCGAUGUUGGAUUAAAAUUAAUUGUUGGUGUAGGUGCUUACAAAUUAGGUCUGUUCGACCUUUAAAAUUUUACAUGAUCUGAGUUUAAACCGGUGUGAGCCAGGUCGGU